GGCACUUUGGUUAAGAACUUGGCUGCAAACCAAAAGAUUGGUGGUUUGAAUCCACCAGGUGUUA
Molecule: transfer RNA, 64 nt
Filed under: Loxodonta africana (African savanna elephant)
Lineage: Eukaryota; Metazoa; Chordata; Mammalia; Proboscidea; Elephantidae
Rfam family: tRNA
About the family: Transfer RNA (tRNA) molecules are approximately 80 nucleotides in length. Their secondary structure includes four short double-helical elements and three loops (D, anti-codon, and T loops).
Source: Rfam by way of RNAcentral